UCGGGAAUAUUGCGCAAUGGAGGAAACUCUGACGCAGUGACGCCGCGUAUAGGAAGAAGGUUUUCGGAUUGUAAACUAUUGUCGUUAGGGAAGAGAAAGGACAGUACAUAAGGAGGAAGCUCCGGCUAACUACGUGCCAGCAGCCGCGGUAAUACGUAGGGAGCGAGCGUUAUCCGGAAUUAUUGGGUGUAAAGGGUGCGUAGACGGGAGAACAAGUUAGUUGUGAAAUACCUCGGCUCAACUGAGGAACUGCAACUAAAACUGUACUUCUUGAGUGCAGGAGAGGUAAGUGGAAUUCCUAGUGUAGCGGUGAAAUGCGUAGAUAUUAGGAGGAACACCAGUGGCGAAGGCGACUUACUGGACUGUAACUGACGUUGAGGCACGAAAGUGUGGGGAGCAACAGGAUUAGAUACC
RNAcentral lists this ribosomal RNA (414 nucleotides) under uncultured bacterium. RNAcentral's name for it is "bacterial SSU rRNA". It matches the Rfam family "Bacterial small subunit ribosomal RNA", at positions 355 to 786 of the family's 1533-position model. The record is from RNAcentral.